This is a non-coding RNA of Glycine max (soybean), 91 nucleotides long. The record is from Rfam. Lineage: Eukaryota; Viridiplantae; Streptophyta; Magnoliopsida; Fabales; Fabaceae.
ACAGCAGUGAUGAGCCUCUAACAUGUAAGAAGGAAUCCCUAGUAGGAUUACUUCAAUGAAAUUUACCUGUUACGCUUGGCUUCUGAGCUUU